UGCGCAGGUGGGCUUGUAAGUCAGUGGUGAAAUACUGCCGCGUAACGGUAGAACUGCCAUUGAUACUGCGAGUCUUGAGUAUGGUUGAGGUAGGCGGAAUGUGUUGUGUAGCGGUGAAAUGCAUAGAUAUGACACAGAACGCCGAUUGCGAAGGCAGCUUACUAAGCCAUUACUGACGCUGAGGCACGAAAGCGUGGGGAGCGAACAGGAUUAGAUACCCUGGUAGUCC
RNAcentral lists this ribosomal RNA (229 nucleotides) under uncultured bacterium. Its description in RNAcentral is "partial 16S ribosomal RNA". It matches the Rfam family "Bacterial small subunit ribosomal RNA", at positions 568 to 796 of the family's 1533-position model. The record is from RNAcentral.